RNAcentral lists this transfer RNA (69 nucleotides) under Dermophis mexicanus (Mexican burrowing caecilian). RNAcentral describes it as "tRNA-Asp". Lineage: Eukaryota; Metazoa; Chordata; Amphibia; Gymnophiona; Dermophiidae. The record is from RNAcentral.
AAGGUGUUAGUAAAUAUAUUACACUGUCUUGUCAAGACAAUAUAAUAAGUUAAAUCCUUAUACACUUUA